RNAcentral lists this transfer RNA (67 nucleotides) under Cipangopaludina longispira. RNAcentral's name for it is "tRNA-Tyr". The record is from RNAcentral. Lineage: Eukaryota; Metazoa; Mollusca; Gastropoda; Architaenioglossa; Viviparidae.
UUGUUAAUAGCACAAAUAUAUGCAUUUGAUUGUAAAUCAAAUUAUGGAAAAAUAAAUCCUUAACAAA